This 301-nucleotide ribosomal RNA is filed under the name uncultured bacterium. RNAcentral describes it as "partial 16S ribosomal RNA". It matches the Rfam family "Bacterial small subunit ribosomal RNA", at positions 509 to 807 of the family's 1533-position model. The record is from RNAcentral.
CAGCAGCCGCGGUAAUACUGAGGAUGCAAGCGUUAUCCGGAAUGAUUGGGCGUAGAGCGUCUGUAGGUGGCUUUUCAAGUCCGCCGUUAAAUCCCAGGGCUCAACCCUGGACAGGCGGUGGAAACUACCAAGCUGGAGUACGGUAGGGGCAGAGGGAAUUUCCGGUGGAGCGGUGAAAUGCGUAGAGAUGUGGAGGAACACCAGUGGCGAAGGCGACUCUCUGGUCUGUAACUGACGCUGAGGAGCGAAAGCGUGGGGAGCGAACAGGAUUAGAGACCCCCGUAGUCCCUGUCUCUUAUAC